AACGAACGCUGGCGGCAGGCUUAACACAUGCAAGUCGAACGGGUGUAGCAAUACAUCAGUGGCAGACGGGUGAGUAACACGUGGGAACCUUCCUAGGGGGUACGGAACAACUCAGGGAAACUUGAGCUAAUACCGUAUACGUCCGUAAGGAGAAAGAUUCAUCGCCCCUAGACGGGCCCGCGUCGGAUUAGGUAGUUGGUGGGGUAACGGCCUACCAAGCCUACGAUCCGUAGCUGAUCUGAGAGGAUGAUCAGCCACACUGGGACUGAGACACGGCCCAGACUCCUACGGGAGGCAGCAGUGGGGAAUCUUGGACAAUGGGCGCAAGCCUGAUCCAGCCAUGCCGCGUGAGUGAAGAAGGCCUUAGGGUUGU
RNAcentral lists this ribosomal RNA (373 nucleotides) under uncultured bacterium. Its description in RNAcentral is "bacterial SSU rRNA". It matches the Rfam family "Bacterial small subunit ribosomal RNA", at positions 29 to 426 of the family's 1533-position model. The record is from RNAcentral.